Molecule: ribosomal RNA, 576 nt
Filed under: uncultured eukaryote
Lineage: Eukaryota
Description: bacterial SSU rRNA
Rfam family: Eukaryotic small subunit ribosomal RNA
Source: RNAcentral
UAUUUAUUAAAUAAAAAAACAAUGCCCUUCGGGGCUCCCUGGUGAUUCAUAAUAACUUAACAAAUCGCAUGGCCUUGCGCCCGCUAUGGUUCAUUCAAAUUUCUGCCCUAUCAACUUUCGAUGGUAAGAUAGUGGCUUACCAUGGUCACCACGGGUAACGGGGAAUUAGGGUUCUAUUCCGGAGAGGGAGCCUGAGAAACCGCUACCACAUCCAAGGAAUGCAACGGGCGCACCAAUUACCCAAUCCCAAUUCUCGGAAGUAGUGAAGGUAAAUACUGAUACUGGGCUCUUUCGGGUCUCGUAAUUGGAAUGAGUACAAUCUAAAUCCUCUAACUAGGAACAAUUGGAAGGCAAGUCUGGUGCCUCCAGUCCCAGUAAUUCCAGCUCCUACAGCGUAUAUAACAGUUGUUUAUAGUUAAAAAGCUCGAAAAUCGAUCUCAUUAAACGCUAUGCGGUCUGCAUGCCCGCCCUUACUGGAUCGCACGAACUCCUUACAGAUUUUCCUUGUGAUGCUCUUUACGGCGUUUCAUGGGCGAUCUGGAGAUUACUUCGAUCAACUUAAAAUGAUCAAAGUAG